AACGAACGCUGGCGGCAGGCUUAACACAUGCAAGUCGAACGCCCCGCAAGGGGAGUGGCAGACGGGUGAGUAACGCGUGGGAACGUACCUUUCAGUUCGGAAUAACUCAGGGAAACUUGUGCUAAUACCGGAUACGCCCGCAAGGGGAAAGAUUUAUCGCUGAAAGAUCGGCCCGCGUUGGAUUAGCUAGUUGGUGGGGUAAAGGCCUACCAAGGCGACGAUCCAUAGCUGGUCUGAGAGGAUGAUCAGCCACACUGGGACUGAGACACGGCCCAGACUCCUACGGGAGGCAGCAGUGGGGAAUAUUGGACAAUGGGCGCAAGCCUGAUCCAGCCAUGCCGCGUGUGUGAUGAAGGCCUUAGGGUUGUAAAGCACUUUCACCGAUGAAGAUAAUGACGGUAGUCGGAGAAGAAGACCCGGCUAACUUCGUG
Molecule: ribosomal RNA, 431 nt
Filed under: uncultured bacterium
Lineage: Bacteria
Description: bacterial SSU rRNA
Rfam family: Bacterial small subunit ribosomal RNA
Source: RNAcentral